GCCUCGGUAGUCUAAUUGGCUAGGACACUUGCUUAAAGCAAGGUAUCCGGGUUCGACUCCCGGCCGAUGUA
This is a non-coding RNA of Cyphomyrmex costatus, 71 nucleotides long. NCBI's taxonomy places the organism in Eukaryota, Metazoa, Arthropoda, Insecta, Hymenoptera, Formicidae. The record is from Rfam.